AGAGUUUGAUCCUGGCUCAGGAUUAACGCUGGCGGUGUGUAUAAUACAUGCAAGUCGAGCGCCCAGGACUUUGUUUAUAAUACUUAUAUUAUAGAUAAGGUCCUGGGAGCGGCGGACGGGUGAGUAACACGUUGGUAACUACUCCAGAAUCAGGGAUAAGCUCUAGAAAUAGGGUCUAAUACCGGAUGGUCCCGAAAGGG
Molecule: ribosomal RNA, 200 nt
Filed under: uncultured bacterium
Lineage: Bacteria
Description: partial 16S ribosomal RNA
Rfam family: Bacterial small subunit ribosomal RNA
Source: RNAcentral